AGGGCUAUAGCCAAGCGGUAAGGCAACGGACUUUGACUCCGUCACUCCGAUGGUUCGAAUCCAUCUAGCCCUA
This 73-nucleotide transfer RNA is filed under the name Firmicutes bacterium CAG:313. It matches the Rfam family "tRNA". Rfam says of the family: Transfer RNA (tRNA) molecules are approximately 80 nucleotides in length. Their secondary structure includes four short double-helical elements and three loops (D, anti-codon, and T loops). Further hydrogen bonds mediate the characteristic L-shaped molecular structure. tRNAs have two regions of fundamental functional importance: the anti-codon, which is responsible for specific mRNA codon recognition, and the 3' end, to which the tRNAs corresponding amino acid is attached (by aminoacyl-tRNA synthetases). tRNAs cope with the degeneracy of the genetic code in two manners: having more than one tRNA (with a specific anti-codon) for a particular amino acid; and 'wobble' base-pairing, i.e. permitting non-standard base-pairing at the 3rd anti-codon position. The record is from Rfam by way of RNAcentral. Lineage: Bacteria; Bacillati; Bacillota.